Molecule: non-coding RNA, 46 nt
Filed under: Schistosoma mansoni
Lineage: Eukaryota; Metazoa; Platyhelminthes; Trematoda; Strigeidida; Schistosomatidae
Source: RNAcentral
ACUUAGUCGAGGAGUCCCACAAUAGGACGAAACGGCCGUCCAGUGU